Molecule: ribosomal RNA, 509 nt
Filed under: uncultured bacterium
Lineage: Bacteria
Description: bacterial SSU rRNA
Rfam family: Bacterial small subunit ribosomal RNA
Source: RNAcentral
GACGAACGCUGGCGGCGUGCCUAAUACAUGCAAGUCGAGCGGACGAAUCGAAAGCUUGCUUUUGAUUCGUUAGCGGCGGACGGGUGAGUAACACGUGGGCAACCUGCCCUGUAGACGGGGAUAACACCGAGAAAUCGGUGCUAAUACCGGAUAACACGAAAUGUCGCAUGACGUUUCGUUGAAAGACGGCGCAAGCUGUCGCUACAGGAUGGGCCCGCGGCGCAUUAGCUAGUUGGUGAGGUAACGGCUCACCAAGGCGACGAUGCGUAGCCGACCUGAGAGGGUGAUCGGCCACACUGGGACUGAGACACGGCCCAGACUCCUACGGGAGGCAGCAGUAGGGAAUCUUCCGCAAUGGACGAAAGUCUGACGGAGCAACGCCGCGUGAGCGAAGAAGGCCUUCGGGUCGUAAAGCUCUGUUGUUAGGGAAGAACAAGUAACGCAGUAACGGGCGUUACCGUGACGGUACCUAACGAGAAAGCCACGGCUAACUACGUGCCAGCCGCCGC